AUCCGCACCGAUACCGACAGGGGUAGAUGAUGUGAUUGUUCUACGGCGCAUCGAAGAACUCUGGUUAAGGAACUCUGCAAACUAGCACCGUAAGUUCGCGAUAAGGUGUGCCGCAGCAAUGCGGUCUCAGCAAAGAGUCCCUCCCGACUGUUUACCAAAAACACAGCACUUUGCCAACUCGUAAGAGGAAGUAUAAGGUGUGACGCCUGCCCGGUGCUCGAAGGUUAAGAGGAUGCGUCAGUCGCAAGAUGAAGCGUUGAAUUGAAGCCCGAGUAAACGGCGGCCGUAACUAUAACGGUCCUAAGGUAGCGAAAUUCCUUGUCGGUUAAAUACCGACCUGCAUGAAUGGCGUAACGAGAUGGGAGCUGUCUCAACCAGAGAUUCAGUGAAAUUGUAGUGGAGGUGAAAAUUCCUCCUACCCGCGGCAAGACGGAAAGACCCCGUGGACCUUUACUACAACUUAGCACUGCUAAUGGGAAUAUCAUGCGCAGGAUAGGUGGGAGGCUUUGAAGUAAGGGCUUUGGCUCUUAUGGAGCCAUCCUUGAGAUACCACCCUUGAUGUUUCUGUUAGCUAACUGGCCUGUGUUAUCCACAGGCAGGACAAUGCUUGGUGGGUAUCCUGACU
RNAcentral lists this ribosomal RNA (625 nucleotides) under Helicobacter pylori. RNAcentral's name for it is "bacterial LSU rRNA". It matches the Rfam family "Bacterial large subunit ribosomal RNA", at positions 1640 to 2275 of the family's 2925-position model. Lineage: Bacteria; Pseudomonadati; Campylobacterota; Epsilonproteobacteria; Campylobacterales; Helicobacteraceae. The record is from RNAcentral.